This 1898-nucleotide long non-coding RNA is filed under the name Malus domestica (apple). Its description in RNAcentral is "long non-coding RNA (MDOM_LNC012866)". The record is from RNAcentral. Lineage: Eukaryota; Viridiplantae; Streptophyta; Magnoliopsida; Rosales; Rosaceae.
AGCUAAUCUCCACCAAGGGGGCCGGCCUCUUAGAGAGAAAAUGAGAGCUUUGUGUUCUCAUCCUUUCCCCAAAAGAAAAUCCUAAGGAUGGAAUGGCUAUAAAGUUGCCUUUAUACCACCCCAUAAUGGAGUGGCAAACUUGCAAUUAAAGCAAGUUCACUACCCUUCUCAAUUUGGCCGGCCUUAAGGGUUUAUUGGGCUUUCAAGCCCUUUGUUUAUUCAAGUUGUCAUACAACUUGAGUUAAUGAGCUUGACAUUCAAAUCCCAUUGGGCCUUGCGGCCCAAAACUAACCCUAGGUCUAUAACGAACUUAUUCGUUUGAUUAAUUAACAUAUUAAUUAAUCCUAGCCAUAAAUAAUUAAACCAUUUAAUUAUCCUUACUCAUCUCCGUUGUUUCUUCAAUCUCUACCUUACACGGUGUACGAUCCAUUAGGUUCCUUUUAGCGAGGCAGUGGGCGAUUGUUACUCUUAAUGAUCGAUUGUGAAUUGAAACUUACUUUCAAUUCUCCCUUUUGUGAUUAUACACGUUUAGGGCUUCCACAAACCAUGAGUGACACCUAGCAGUAUGUCAUGGUUACCUAAGCUAAUCAGAAGAGCUGGAGAACCUAUUUAGUUUAGGAUUACAAUGCAAUACGGUCUUUCUCUAAUACAAUACUCUUAACCACAUUGUUUGGUUUGAUAGUUUAAUCAUGUCUACUAUCCAAUGUGAUUCAUUUACUUAUAUGAUUACCUUGAAUGUGAUUUGGAAUGACUUCCUAAAUCUCAUUCAUACUCUGGCCAAAGAUUCUUAAUCAUAUCAUAGAGUAUUCACCCUCAAACGAUUUGAAGGUUGAGAUCCCUUGUUAUGCAUUCACUUGCCUCCAUGGCUAAGUGGCUUAACCCCAACUAGGUCGUGGACACCCUCUGACAGAGUGACUUUGACAUAGUCAAAGAUCAAGGACCUAACCACAAGACAACUAUGAUGCCUCAGGUCAAAGGACUACUUUGCAUUAUCCCAACCAUGAGUUCUCAUGUGACAUGAGUAUGAGAACUCCUUGUUGAUCGUGUUCAGUGGACUCAUUCUCUGUUGAGCACCUAGAUGCUUGUCUUGGUGCCAAUCACACCAAUGACUCGAGACCAGUCACUCUCCCUAAGAGAAGACACAGCACGUACUAAUCUUAACGGACUGUCAAUGCCCAAUUGGCAAUCCUAUGAUCAGGAACGUUUAGGAUAUGUAUAUGAAAGAGAAUGGUCUCAUGAAUCUAACUUCUUUAAAUUACAUUCUCCUAGUUACAUAUUCCUUGGACUUAUCAUUUAAGCAUAUAACAUUUAUAUGAGACGGCUUAAAACAAUAAUCUUUGCCCUUGUUAUUAAACUAGAUUAGUUUAACAUGUGAAAUGUCCGUAAAGUAUCAUCAUAUGAUUGGUUUUAGGGCACAUUUCUAACAGUAAUUUGGUUUUUAAUUAUUCGUAUAUUUUUUAUCUCUAUUGCUUCCGCAUUGUGCACAUGGCUACGUCACUCUCACGUGACGGCUAGCAUGCCUUGAUCAAUGAUCAAUGAUUAACUCAUAGGAACACCUAGUAAUGUCAACUCUAGGAUCCAUGAUCAACUCAGCGAUCUGAGAUGUCCAACUCUAAGCGACUUUAGAGCAUUCUAGUGAAUCCAGUGACCGAAAGGUCGACAAUUUGGGGUUGGCUGAGAUUAUGAUUGGUAAUAUAACUAUUAGCAACCAUGGACAUAUGUUUGAGCUUACUAAGAAGCUCUUGUUCUGACAAACCAUCUAUAUUCCAUUCAUAGAGUUUAUCAGAAGAGACUGAGAAUAGGUGGAAGAGUGGCUGGAAGCCACCUCUGCCUAUUGUUGUUCUUGCCUGACAUUCUUCCCCUGUAAAAAUUCUCUAGUUAAGAAAUCUAGAAUGCAG